GAAGUUCAACCAGAGUAUUAGUAGUUAUUUUCUUUAAAUUCAAAGAAUUUGGCGGUGUUUUAGUCCUCUUAGAGGAACCUGUUUUAUAAACGAUAAACCACGAAUAUCUUACCUAUUUUAAGUUUGUAUACCGUCAUUAUCAGAUAAUUUUGAUAAAAUAAAUUAUUAGAAUUAAUUUUAAUUAAGUAAAUUAGAUCAAGGUGCAGUUCAUAAAUAGGAAAUAAUGGGUUACAAUAAAAAUAAUUUACAACGAAUUUAUCACAUGAGAUUGUUUAAUGAAGGUGGAUUUAAUUGUAAUUUUAUUAAUUAUGAUAAUUUGAUAUAGG
This 326-nucleotide ribosomal RNA is filed under the name Pagurus stimpsoni. RNAcentral describes it as "partial small subunit ribosomal RNA". The record is from RNAcentral. Lineage: Eukaryota; Metazoa; Arthropoda; Malacostraca; Decapoda; Paguridae.